This 18-nucleotide non-coding RNA is filed under the name Arabidopsis thaliana (thale cress). The record is from RNAcentral. Lineage: Eukaryota; Viridiplantae; Streptophyta; Magnoliopsida; Brassicales; Brassicaceae.
AAGGUGGCAAUGGCAGAC